This 1194-nucleotide long non-coding RNA is filed under the name Ananas comosus (pineapple). RNAcentral describes it as "long non-coding RNA (ACOM_LNC002575)". Lineage: Eukaryota; Viridiplantae; Streptophyta; Magnoliopsida; Poales; Bromeliaceae. The record is from RNAcentral.
AAAAGACAUAGGCCGUGUGGUGAAAAACGACAAUGAAAAAAAUACUCUAUUUAUUUCCGAACAUAAUAUUGCGUUCCGCAUAUUGCGGUUAGUCGGUUACGAUAUAUUUUCUGCGGUUCCAUCGGAGAACGCAGAAGCAUAUCCCUAUAUAUUAUUUUUCAACUCCAUUCUAUCUAAUAGCAUUAGAUCCAUCUCAAUAUCAAACUAAGUUAUAGAAUAUAAAAUCCCUUAGGACUUGAUCCUGAUCGUUUUUCUUAAGUUCCCAACAGGCAAAAAAGCAAUGCUCCGCGACGCACACAUGCAGAGAGAGUGUAACAAAAAAUUUUAAAAAAAAUUAUAAAAUACUUAACUGAUACAAUUAAAAUCACAGUAUACUAAAAUAAAAAGACUAUAAACCACAGGAAAUUAAGUAUAGAUAAUAUCAAUAAGAUGUAUUUUUAUUCUUUCAUUAAGUNUACUAUUGUAGGUUCUUGUGAUAUUAAUUAUCAUUAUGUAUUGUUAAUAAAUUGACGGUAUAAUGUGUAGAAUUUUGAUUAGUUGAGUGAUAUACAAGUUCUAAAAAUAUUAUAGAUAUUACCAACAUAUAAAUAACAUGCAAAAAUAAUUAACUGUUCAAAAAAAAAGUCUUCUUUGUAACUUUUACAAUACGUGGAAUAUACUAAAAGCCAACUUCAUUGUAUCAUUUAAAUAAUUGAAUCAAACAAAGUUUUGUCUUUUGUAUUUAUAUGCGAUGUGGAGACAUUUGGUUAGAUGUUAUUAUUUUUGGAAAAAAAAACUUUAGAUACCUUUUUGCAGUUUACGAUUUAUUAAUUUAGUGUCUAAUGAUUUUAAUUGAUCACUCUAAGUAUCAUAUGGUUUCUAUUUUUAUUUUUUCAUUACACUCUACGUUAACUUCUUCUUUAAACCCCUCGUGUGCCUCACACAUGCCUCGAUAAAAAAAAUAAAAGACACGAGACCUCUUAAAAAAGACACAGGCCGUGUGGUGAAAAACGACAAUGAAAAAAAUACUCUAUUUAUUUCCGAACAUAAUAUUGCGUUCCGCAUAUUGCGGUUAGUCGGUUACGAUAUAUUUUCUGCGGUUCCAUCGGAGAACGCAGAAGCAUAUCCCUAUAUAUUAUUUUUCAACUCCAUUCUAUCUAAUAGCAUUAGAUCCACCUCAAUAUCAAACUAAGUUAUAGAAUAUAAAAUCCCUUA